This 301-nucleotide ribosomal RNA is filed under the name uncultured bacterium. Its description in RNAcentral is "partial 16S ribosomal RNA". It matches the Rfam family "Bacterial small subunit ribosomal RNA", at positions 509 to 807 of the family's 1533-position model. The record is from RNAcentral.
CAGUCGCCGCGGGAAUACAGAGGACGCAAGCGUUAUCCGGAAUGAUUGGGCGUAAAGGGCUCGCAGGCGGUUUCUUAAGUCUGAUGUGAAAGCCCCCGGCUCAACCGGGGAGGGUCAUUGGAAACUGGGAAACUUGAGUGCAGAAGAGGAGAGUGGAAUUCCACGUGUAGCGGUGAAAUGCGUAGAGAUGUGGAGGAACACCAGUGGCGAAGGCGACUCUCUGGUCUGUAACUGACGCUGAGGAGCGAAAGCGUGGGGAGCGAACAGGAUUAGAUACCCCCGUAGUCCCUGUCUCUUAUAC